Molecule: ribosomal RNA, 492 nt
Filed under: uncultured bacterium
Lineage: Bacteria
Description: partial 16S ribosomal RNA
Rfam family: Bacterial small subunit ribosomal RNA
Source: RNAcentral
AGUGAACGCUGGCGGUAGGCCUAACACAUGCAAGUCGAACGGCAGCACAGUAAGAGCUUGCUCUUACGGGUGGCGAGUGGCGGACGGGUGAGGAAUACAUCGGAAUCUACUUUUUCGUGGGGGAUAACGUAGGGAAACUUACGCUAAUACCGCAUACGACCUACGGGUGAAAGCAGGGGAUCUUCGGACCUUGCGCGAUUGAAUGAGCCGAUGUCGGAUUAGCUAGUUGGCGGGGUAAAGGCCCACCAAGGCGACGAUCCGUAGCUGGUCUGAGAGGAUGAUCGGCAACACUGGAAAUGAGACACGGUACAGAAUCCGACGGGAGGCAGCAGUGGGGAAUCUUGAGCAAUGGGCGAAAGCCUGAAGGAGCAAUGCCGCGUGAGUGAAGAAGGCAUUCGGAUCGUAAAACCCUGUUGUUAGAGAAGAAAAUAAGCAGGUGAAAACGUCACCGUCCUGACGGUACCUAAAGAGAAAGACCCGGCUAACUACGUG